This 377-nucleotide ribosomal RNA is filed under the name uncultured bacterium. Its description in RNAcentral is "bacterial SSU rRNA". It matches the Rfam family "Bacterial small subunit ribosomal RNA", at positions 521 to 896 of the family's 1533-position model. The record is from RNAcentral.
UAAGACGGAGGGUGCGAGCGUUGUUCGGAAUUACUGGGCGUAAAGGGUGUGUAGGCGGUUCCAUAAGUCUGGUGUGAAAGCCCAGGGCCCAGCCUUGGAAGGGCACCAGAGACUGUGGGGCUAGGGUACCGGAGAGGAGGGUGGAAUUUCCGGUGUAGCGGUGAUAUGCGUAGAUAUCGGGAGGAACACCAGUGGCGAAGGCGCCCCUCUGGACGGUCACUGACGCUGAGGCACGAAAGCGUGGGGAGCAAACAGGAUUAGAUACCCUGGUAGUCCACGCCGUAAACGAUGGGCACUAGGUGUCGGGGGUAACCACUCCCUCGGUGCCGCCGCUAACGCAUUAAAUGCCCCGCCUGGGGAGUACGGCCGCAAGGUUA